Molecule: non-coding RNA, 714 nt
Filed under: Pan troglodytes (chimpanzee)
Lineage: Eukaryota; Metazoa; Chordata; Mammalia; Primates; Hominidae
Source: RNAcentral
GGGAGCUUAGAUGUGGAAGCUCUUUGGAAACCAAGAAACACUCUGCAAAUGAAAAGGGUGGAAGAGUAAACUGUUCCUGUUUCUCCAUCUUGACAGGAAGCAGAAGUUCUCCUUAGCUGAUUUUUCUUCUUGCCUUAUACUGGGUUCUUUAACACCAGAACAAAAAUAAAUAAAUAAAAGAAUCUUCCAGAAAUUCAUGAAGAGACUUCAGGUCAGGAAAGCCUGAACUUUCUCAUCCAACACCUGUUCAAGUCGGAGGAUGCUGAUUAAUUCAUGAUGGAAAGGUAUCAAUUUCACAGCCCAGACCUCUACAUUCUUGAAAUGCUCUUCUCAUGGGAGACAUUAAAUAAGCUUUGAAUUAACUGGACUUAUCUUCCUCAGUUCUCUGUGAUGAACUUUUGUAGAGCCACACGAAAGGAGGUUUUUAGCUCUCACCUGUGGUCUUUCUUCAUCAUGCACCUCCUAGAUUCAAAAGUUCAGCAGGGACAUGUCAAGCUAUAUAAAUAAAAACAAACUAAGAAAAAAUGUAACAUUCCAUACCUUAAAACGCAACCUUAAUAACGUGAAAGACCCUGAAGGACUUGAGAUGUGAAGAUUUUCUACCACGGUCUUUGCAUGUAUUAUUUGUGACAGCUGUUCCUUUCUACUCCCUCUUGCACACAUCUUUAGUUACUCCCUGUUCUCCAUCCCUCUGAUAAAAUCUGGAGUUCUCCC